UCGUGUGCUCCACCGCACUGGUGGCGACAUCAUGUAUUCGCCGGAGAUGGCAAGUAAAAUAGUGGUCCUGUGCGCUAUACUCCACAAUAUCGCGGUAAGGAGUAGCGUAGAGCUUCCUCAGACAGAGGAAUUGCCUGAUGAGGAGCCAGGGGUUGUCCGACACUUCGGUGGGGGGAGUGUUACAAGGAGGGGGAGCCAAGUCAGGGCAAGCAUUGUUGCUGAAUUUUUCAGCUGAAAGACCACACAAACUGAGGACGACCACAACGGCAAGCACCACAUGAUGCACCAGCUCAGCACCCUUCCCCUUCUCACUCCCCCUCCACUUCCCAGUCCCCCUCCCCUUCUCACUCCCCCUCCCCUUCUCACUCCCCCUCCACUUCCCAGUCCCCCUCCCCUUCUCACUCCCCCUCCCCUUCUCACUCCCCCUCAGCUUCCCAAUCCCCCUCAGCUUCCCAAUCACCCUCAGCUUCACAAUCCACCUCAGCUUCCCAGUCACCCUCAGCUUCCCAGGCCCCCUCAGCUUCCCAGGCCCACUCCACUUUCCACUCCCCUUCUCAGCCAACCUCUCCUUCUCUUUCUGUGACCCCUUCUCCUCCUUCCCAUACCCCUUCUCCUUCUACUUCCAACUCACCUUCUCAGCCCCCCUCACCCUCUAUUGGCCUAACAUUUUCACCGCCCCCCUCGCCCUCUCAAUCAGACCCACCCUCUGAAAUUACAUCCCCAAUCCAACCUCCUUCCCCCAUCCAGCCUCCUUCCCCCAUCCAGCCUCCUUCCCCCAUCCAGCCUCCUUCCCCAAUCCCUCCUCCUUCCCCCAUCCAGCCGCCUUCCCCCAUCCAGCCGCCAUCCCCACCCAGUGAAUGGGCAGAGGAAGCCCCUGAAGACAGUUCAGGGAGUCUUCAUGUUGCCGAGGAAAAUGUUGCAGUUGGAGAUCCCACAAGUUUUGGAGGCAUUCUUUACACCAUGCGCCAACACCUGCAAGGAUUAAUGCAUUGUGUUGACAAUUUGCAAAAAUAUG
This is a long non-coding RNA of Pseudophryne corroboree (corroboree frog), 1015 nucleotides long. RefSeq lists it as uncharacterized. NCBI's taxonomy places the organism in Eukaryota, Metazoa, Chordata, Amphibia, Anura, Myobatrachidae. The record is from RefSeq and is a predicted model, not a curated record. The transcript is spliced from 4 exons.